GCUGAUGGAAUCGGCCGCCUCUCCCAUGGAGCCCGUGGUCGGUUCGGCCCACAGGAGGACUGUGGAUGGGCUGUGAUGUCACCCCCUCUGGGGUUCUGGGACGCACUGAGAAACAUGGAUCCUGCCGGACUGCAGGAGACUGGGCAGGCAUCCACAGAUGCUAGGACACACUUCAAAGUCUGCAGGUUCAUCAUGGAGGCAGGUGUGAAGCUGGGACUGCGCUCCAUCCCUGUAGCCACGGCAUGCACCAUCUAUCACCGGUUCUUCACGGAGGUGCCGCUGGAGCCGUACGAUCCCUACCUAGUGGCUAUGGCUGCCCUUUAUCUGGCUGGGAAGGUAGAAGAGCAGCAUCUGCGGACGAGGGACAUCAUCAACGUGAGCCACAGAUAUCUGCACCCCCAGAGUGACCCCCUGGAGCUUGACACCCACUUCUGGGAGCUGAGGGACAGCAUUGUCCAGUGUGAGCUGCUCAUGCUACGGGUGCUCUGCUUCCGUGUCUCCUUCCAGCACCCGCAUAAGUACCUUCUCCACUACUUGCUGUCCCUGAAGCACUGGAUGAAUCGGCACAGCUGGGAUCGGACCCCGGUGGCCGUGGCGGCCUGGGCCUUGCUGCGGGACAGCUACCACGGGUCGCUGUGCCUGCGCCAUGCGCCUCAGCACAUCGCCGUGACCGUCCUUUACCUUGCCCUGCAGUGCUACGGGGUGGAGGUGCCUGCCGAUGCUGAAGCGGAGCGGCCUUGGUGGCAGGUUUUCAGUGAAGAUCUCUCCAAGAGCAUCAUUGACCAGAUUGUCUUGGACUUGAUACGGAUUUAUGCAUUGGAUGCAGAGGUCUCUUAAGCACAGCGUUGGGGGAAAUCAACUAACACAAAACAGGACUUGAAAAGGGAAUAUCCGUUGGAAGCUGGUGGGGCCAUCAGACUGGAUUCCCAACGAAGCCAUGGACCCACUGUGUUUCCUUUGCUGACAAGGGUUUCUUGGAAGGGUGGAGAAACCCAUUUGCCAUCCACAACAUGGUUCCUAAAAAAGAAAUGUAAUCAUCAUCAAAAAGAACAGAAAAACCAGAUAAAGCAUUUCCAAGAUGCAAGAAGUGGGGAAGACCAAAGGCCAUAAUGGAUAUCAAUUUCCCAACGAGCUGCUGGAAGGGAGGAAGAGAGUUUAAUAUAAAGGCAGCAUUAAAAAAAGAAAGAGAGAGAGAGAGAGAGAGAGAGAGAGAAACAACUGAUAAAAUGCCAGCAAAGAUUACAAGGCCAUACUCGAAGGUUUACACAGUAGGGUGCACCCCAAUUGAAAAGCAAGACCAGUGCAUGUCAUAUUGAAAGGCACUAUGAAUCUACCACGCGACAUACAAUGCUGGCAUGACCACCAGCAUGGCUCUGAUUAGUAGGAAAACCAAAACAAAAAAGAAAGAGAGGGAGAAGAGGAGAAGGAGGAGCAAGAGGAGAAGAAAGAAGGAAUUGUUGGAAUACUCUAACCCAACCAAUUUGCCAAGAAUAUCUAGUCUGGCAGCUGGAGAACUGAAGAAGUGACAGCUUACCUCUUUGGAUCUCUCAUUGUUAUGCCAAAAAAUGAAAAACAAAUGCAGAAAGUUUCUUUUCAAGAAGCAGUAAGAGGAAAUCAAGACUCACUCCCGGUACCGGUGCUGGCAUUUGCGGCGGAGAGAAUUACGUGAGUGGGGGUAGAAAUAUUGGUUACAUCGUGCAGUUGACUGAGGACGGAAGAGCGGCGUCGGACAGCCCCCUGAAAGGAGCCGCUUCUCUUGAAGGUGCUAACUACCUCCAUCUGCAGGAGAGAAAAUGAGAUAGAAAAUUUGGAUGGCAGCGGGCAGCGGCUGCAGUGGAACAGCGCGUGCCAGCCGGAAUUGGCCAUGCUGUGUAUUCAGCCUCUUGCCACAGGCUUUGAAGCAUUAUGUGCCAGAGGCCAGCUGGUGGGAGUUGGCACCACACUAAUGUUCUUUUAUGGGAAGAGCAAAUUGCACCAGCAGAAGAUCGAGGCAACUGGUCACACCUGAAGGCUCAAUUUCUAUUUUAUACAAAGUACAAACCCAUGGCACAUCAUACUGGAAGACAACAAUUGGUUGUGAACCAUUCGAUUAAGAGCACAAUUCAAGGUAUAACUGUGAUAACUUUGUUGGGGAAGGUGGGGAAAAAAUAAGAUAGUCACAAUGUCGUAUCAUUUUCAACAGGUUCAUUCACUAGGCUAUUGUCUGGGACAAGGAGUACUGCCGUAAACAAGGGAUGAUCAUAAAACCUUUUGCACAUUUCAGAAUGUUGUAUAAUUGAACAGUAAUGCAGAUCUAUCUCAGAUAUCCCAUUCUUUCCCAACAUUUAGCUCCAUUCUAGUGUGAUCAAGGAACUGUACCCUAGAUAGAAGUUUUACUGAUGGAGGGGUGGAAGUAAAUGUAAAUAAGAGAAGGUUUGAUGCUUCAUGAAUGGAAUGACCAGGAGCAAAAAGUCUUUUUAAAUCUAGCUUAAUGGUGUCCCUCUUUUAUUUCAUUAUUGUACAAUCACUGGGACUCAUUCCUAUAGUGAAAAGUGCAGCCCUAUUUUUAUUCCACUGUCCAACAAAAGGUUCCAAAGCAGUUGAGGUACUGCGGGGCAGGGGGGGGAGGUGUUAACCAUGUGUUAAUCAAGUUGUUUAUGGCCUCAGCAAGGAUGAGCUUCCACAGAUGAGAAAAAAUUCAUGAAACUACACAUAUCUUUAGGACAGCUUCUCAUGCACUCAUUUGUGCUUGGGUACAGGCAAGCUGUAUAAAAAUGCACAGGAAUUGUCCCAUCAUUUGUUGUGGAAGAAUUGCAAAAUGCAAGGAUGCAGUUAUGUAAAUACUGCACUUCCUCCUGUGGGAUCCUUGCCCAGGAGGGUAAAGUCUUGCAGGCUGAAGUUUAGGGAGCCGAUUUUACUUUGUCUACAACUGACUUGGUCUAGGGAAGUGGUGAACAAGCUGCUGUGCAAAUGCAGCAAACCCCCUUUGUUCUUGUCAACCUCACUCUGGUCAUCAUCAAUGGCAGCAACAUCAUCACUGAUGCCCAAGCAGCAUGGUGGGGUGACCAUCACUGGCUCAGUGUCCCUUAGGCUGAUCAUUAAUCUUUUUGUAUUUACCAUGUUUUUUUCCCCUCUUCCCCCAAUAUUUUUCUGGGGAUCAAUUUUUGCAAACCCCAAGAAGACAGCUGUGACAGCCCUUCCAAAGUGCUCAAGGUACACACUGAAUAGUCUGUCAUUGGUUCACCACCUUGUUGUUGUUGUUUUUAAGCACAAGAUGUUUCUGCAAAUAUUUCCAUUAUUUUCGUUUUAAAGAAGGAUUUAGGCAGGGCUAAACAGGAUAAUUUUGACAAGAAUGCAUAUACCUAUUUCCUUGCCAAAACCAUGCUGCUUAUCUCUGCCUAAAUCUAUGAAUUAAAAGGAAGCUGUCAAAAGUAAGUUUACAUGGAUAUGGGGAGUCUUGGGAAGGUUGGAAGAAGCAGAAAACAAUGGGGGAAACAUUAAAAACCCAGAGAGAUGAUCUCCCUGUAAAUGGGGGAGUCCGCCCACUCUUUUUCACAAGCAAAAAUCUCUUGUAGCUUUUCUUUUUCUUGACAGCUAAGCCUUUGACAGCUAUUAAGAGAGCACAAAGUGAAAAAUGCAGCCCCUCUGGGUCAACAUCUAUGGUGGCUGCCUUGCACUUUGACACCUCCCCAGAUAUUGCCCAGGUGAGAUUUUCCAUUUUGGCCCCUGCAAGCACCUACCCCUGCAUUUGAUUAGAUGUUAGAUAUAUUUCUGUAAAUUUCUUGUGCUUGACAAAAAAGUGUUGUGGUGACCCAGUGGCAGCCCUUCCAAGGUGCCAUUUAGCAACUUUGUAGGGGCUGUUACCUUGGAGAUUGUGGAAAGAAAUCUUUGCAAAAAGGAGAUGUGGUGAGGAGAAAAAAAGCCAUUGCAAGAGCAAAAUGGCAGUGGGGACAGAAGACAAGGACUUUAGUGGGUGGACCAAAAGGGCAUUGGGGGCACAUUUUACAGUAAGUCCAUUGUAUUUGUGGGGUGGGCUGCCAUGUUCUGCAAACUCACCCACUGUAUAAAAAGUCCUUUUUCAUGCUUGGAAGAUUGCAUGCAUCUUGCAAAUGUACCUCAGUUCUUGAUUCUAUUAAUGUAUUUUCUUGUGUUUAAUGUUAAUGAUUAAAUGAACAGAAAAAUGAUAAAGGAAAGAAAUCAAAUUCA
This is an RNA transcript of Varanus komodoensis (Komodo dragon), 4185 nucleotides long. It is a transcript of the gene named cyclin Q, with no coding region annotated. NCBI's taxonomy places the organism in Eukaryota, Metazoa, Chordata, Lepidosauria, Squamata, Varanidae. The transcript has 10 exons. The record is from RefSeq and is a predicted model, not a curated record.